CCUACGGGAGGCAGCAGUGAGGAAUAUUGGUCAAUGGACGAAAGUCUGAACCAGCCAAGUAGCGUGAAGGAUGACUGCCCUAUGGGUUGUAAACUUCUUUUAUAUGGGAAUAAAAUGUUCCACGUGUGGGAUUUUGUAUGUACCAUAUGAAUAAGGAUCGGCUAACUCCGUGCCAGCAGCCGCGGUAAUACGGAGGAUACGAGCGUUAUCCGGAUUUAUUGGGUUUAAAGGGAGCGUAGGUGGAUUGUUAAGUCAGUUGUGAAAGUUUGCGGCUCAACCGUAAAAUUGCAGUUGAAACUGGCAGUCUAGAGUACAGUAGAGGUGGGCGGAAUUCGUGGUGUAGCGGUGAAAUGCUUAGAUAUCACGAAGAACUCCGAUUGCGAAGGCAGCUCACUGGACUGCAACUGACACUGAGGCUCGAAAGUGUGGGUAUCAAACAGGAUUAGAUACCCUGGUAGUC
Molecule: ribosomal RNA, 460 nt
Filed under: uncultured bacterium
Lineage: Bacteria
Description: partial 16S ribosomal RNA
Rfam family: Bacterial small subunit ribosomal RNA
Source: RNAcentral